Molecule: ribosomal RNA, 450 nt
Filed under: uncultured bacterium
Lineage: Bacteria
Description: partial 16S ribosomal RNA
Rfam family: Bacterial small subunit ribosomal RNA
Source: RNAcentral
GUGGGGAAUCUUCCACAAUGGACGAAAGUCUGAUGGAGCAACGCCGCGUGAGUGAAGAAGGGUUUCGGCUCGUAAAGCUCUGUUGUCGGGGACGAAUGUGCAGUAUUUGAAUAAAGUAGUGCAAUGACGGUACCUGACGAGGAAGCCACGGCUAACUACGUGCCAGCAGCCGCGGUAAUACGUAGGUGGCAAGCGUUGUCCGGAAUUAUUGGGCGUAAAGGGAGCGCAGGCGGGAAGGUAAGUCGGUCUUAAAAGUGCGGGGCUCAACCCCGUGAUGGGAUCGAAACUAUCUUUCUUGAGUGCAGGAGAGGAAAGUGGAAUUCCUAGUGUAGCGGUGAAAUGCGUAGAUAUUAGGAGGAACACCAGUGGCGAAGGCGACUUUCUGGACUGUAACUGACGCUGAGGCUCGAAAGCCAGGGGAGCGAACGGGAUUAGAAACCCGAGUAGUCC